RNAcentral lists this ribosomal RNA (515 nucleotides) under uncultured bacterium. RNAcentral describes it as "partial 16S ribosomal RNA". It matches the Rfam family "Bacterial small subunit ribosomal RNA", at positions 29 to 523 of the family's 1533-position model. The record is from RNAcentral.
AACGAACGCUGGCGGCGUGCCUAAUACAUGCAAGUCGAGCGAAUGGAUUAAGAGCUUGCUCUUAUGAAGUUAGCGGCGGACGGGUGAGUAACACGUGGGUAACCUGCCCAUAAGACUGGGAUAACUCCGGGAAACCGGGGCUAAUACCGGAUAACAUUUUGAACCGCAUGGUUCGAAAUUGAAAGGCGGCUUCGGCUGUCACUUAUGGAUGGACCCGCGUCGCAUUAGGUAGUUGGUGAGGUAACGGCUCACCAAGGCAACGAUGCGUAGCCGACCUGAGAGGGUGAUCGGCCACACUGGGACUGAGACACGUCCCAGACUCCUACGGGAGGCAGCAGUAGGGAAUCUUCCGCAAUGGACGAAAGUCUGACGGAGCUACGCCGCGUGAGUGAUGAAGGCUUUCGGGUCGUAAAACUCUGUUGUUAGGGAAGAACAAGUGCUAGUUGAAUAAGCUGGCACCUUGACGGUACCUAACCAGAAAGCCACGGCUAACUACGUGCCAGCAGCCGCAGUAA